This 468-nucleotide ribosomal RNA is filed under the name uncultured bacterium. Its description in RNAcentral is "partial 16S ribosomal RNA". It matches the Rfam family "Bacterial small subunit ribosomal RNA", at positions 28 to 507 of the family's 1533-position model. The record is from RNAcentral.
GACGAACGCUGGCGGCGUGCUUAACACAUGCAAGUCGAACGGAAAGGCCCUGCUUUUGUGGGGUGCUCGAGUGGCGAACGGGUGAGUAACACGUGAGUAACCUGCCCUUGACUUUGGGAUAACUUCAGGAAACUGGGGCUAAUACCGGAUAGGAGCUCCUGCUGCAUGGUGGGGGUUGGAAAGUUUCGGCGGUUGGGGAUGGACUCGCGGCUUAUCAGCUUGUUGGUGGGGUAGUGGCUUACCAAGGCUUUGACGGGUAGCCGGCCUGAGAGGGUGACCGGCCACAUUGGGACUGAGAUACGGCCAAGACUCCUACGGGAGGCAGCAGUGGGGAAUAUUGCACAAUGGGCGGAAGCCUGAUGCAGCAACGCCGCGUGCGGGAUGACGGCCUUCGGGUUGUAAACCGCUUUCGCCUGUGACGAAGCGUGAGUGACGGUAAUGGGUAAAGAAGGACCGGCUAACUACGUG